GCCUGGUUGGCUCAGUCAGUAGAGCAUGGGACUCUCAAUCUCAGGGCCAUGAGGUCAAGCCCCAUGGGCA
Molecule: transfer RNA, 70 nt
Filed under: Ailuropoda melanoleuca (giant panda)
Lineage: Eukaryota; Metazoa; Chordata; Mammalia; Carnivora; Ursidae
Rfam family: tRNA
About the family: Transfer RNA (tRNA) molecules are approximately 80 nucleotides in length. Their secondary structure includes four short double-helical elements and three loops (D, anti-codon, and T loops).
Source: Rfam by way of RNAcentral